UAGGGAAUCUUCGGCAAUGGACGAAAGUCUGACCGAGCAACGCCGCGUGAGUGAAGAAGGUUUUCGGAUCGUAAAACUCUGUUGUUAGAGAAGAACAAGGACGUUAGUAACUGAACGUCCCCUGACGGUAUCUAACCAGAAAGCCACGGCUAACUACGUGCCAGCAGCCGCGGUAAUACGUAGGUGGCAAGCGUUGUCCGGAUUUAUUGGGCGUAAAGCGAGCGCAGGCGGUUUCUUAAGUCUGAUGUGAAAGCCCCCGGCUCAACCGGGGAGGGUCAUUGGAAACGGGGAGACUUGAGUGGAGAAGAGGAGAGUGGAAGUCCAUGUGUAGCGGUGAAAUGCGUAGAUAUAUGGAGGAACACCAGUGGCGAAGGCGGCUCUCUGGUCUGGAACGGACGCUGAGGCUCGAAAGCGUGGGGAGCAAACAGG
RNAcentral lists this ribosomal RNA (429 nucleotides) under Gemmatimonadota bacterium. RNAcentral's name for it is "Gemmatimonadetes bacterium partial 16S ribosomal RNA". It matches the Rfam family "Bacterial small subunit ribosomal RNA", at positions 355 to 776 of the family's 1533-position model. Lineage: Bacteria; Pseudomonadati; Gemmatimonadota. The record is from RNAcentral.